RNAcentral lists this ribosomal RNA (433 nucleotides) under uncultured bacterium. RNAcentral describes it as "partial 16S ribosomal RNA". It matches the Rfam family "Bacterial small subunit ribosomal RNA", at positions 29 to 507 of the family's 1533-position model. The record is from RNAcentral.
AACGAACGCUGGCGGCAUGCCUAAUACAUGCAAGUCGAACGAUACCGUCGGGUCUAUGCUCGCCCUGGUUCGUAAGGCGAGGGAACCGUACCGUGUGGGUGGCAUAACUCCCCGAAGGGGGUGACAAUAGCGAAUAAUGGCUUCUACCCAAAGAUUUAUGGCCUCUGGAUGGGCCUGAGUUGGAUGAGCUAUUUGGUCGGGUAAACGCCGACCAAGGCUGCGAUCCAUAGCUGGUCUGAGAGGAUGAUCCGCAACCCUGGGACUGACACACGUCCCAGACUUCUACCGGAGGCAGCAGUGGGGAAUAUUCGACGCCGGGCGAAAGCCUGAGCCAGCCAUGCCGCAUGAGUGAGGAAGGACUUAGGGUUGUAAAGCUCUUUUAAACGGGCUCAUAAUGACAGUACCGGGACAAUAAGCGCCGGCUAACUCCGUG